CCGAGGUCCUCAUCCAGGAUUGGCUGCCCCUUCAUAACCAGAAGAUAAUUAAAACGAGGGGGGGAGGGUUAAAAAAACUUUUUUAUCAGCCGGAGGUUAAUGCAAGUGUUUAACAGAUGCUUCACUAUUAAAAUAUUUUCCCCCCAAGUCGCAAAUAUUGAAGAAUCUUAAACCAGGGACACCAGCCCCAGCGAAGGAAGACCUUAAGCGAUUUCAAAGCGCAGGCACAUCGAUUCCCCGAAUUUGUUGUGUGGCCGGUAUCGGUGUUCCCCUGGUUUAACUAGCCUGUCUGAUAGUUCCUGAAUUAAGGCUAUUUCAGGCCACUUUGGAAAUUCACCCAGGAAGUUUCAGUUGAAGCAGAUUUCAGAUACCUCAUGGCUUCAGAGAUACAUUGUGAGAGGACCUUGACCUGCACCCACUGUUGCUGGCUUUGAAGAUUGAGUGAGGACCAUCAGCCAAGGCUUCUGGUGGCUUCUAGUAGCAUGGAACGACCCUCACUGACAGCUGGUUUAUAAAAAGGCAAGCAUCGUUUCGUGAAAAAUAUCUUGCACCGAUUGAAUACAGGUGGCUGCUUGUUUGGACUUUGAAGAUGUAAAGGCUUAGUAUAGAUGUCUGAAAAAGGCAAACCACUUCAAUAGAACGUGGCUGGCAGCCAUGUGGUCAUAUAUGAAUCCAACAAUUAAUUUAGCAAAGAAAACUGCUUGUAACAAGUUUUGAAUUUGCCAUACCAGGUAGUACUUUGAUGAUAAAUGAGGAGACGAUUGCCAAGAAAGUGACAGUAACAUUAAUAAAAAGAUCGUCUCCUCCCUGGAUGGUUCCUGCAGCUCUGACGUUUGUAGAAUCAAAGCUUUUGCCACCCAGUCGUCACUUCCCACACUCAGGGAGCACAGAUGGUGCGCGGUUAAGCCCCUGUCCUUUUACAGUUCCUUGGCAUCAGGAGUGGAUAAAAGGGAAAGCAAAACUGUCAGGAUACUGUGUGAAUUUUGCUUACAUUUUACUGAAAGAUAACUGCUUAACCUCUGUCUAGGGAAAUUAAAUAUUCCAUAGCCUUGCAUAGACAUGUGAGGUGCAUAUUUAUAGUUACAUGAACACUAUGAUGAAUAUUUCCUCUGGAGAAAUCUGCAACAGUCUGUUUAUAUUUAAUUUUAUCAGCUAUUUUCGGUAAGGUUACUACUUACACAGUUAGAUAUUUAUUGCAUGUAUCAUAAAAAUUUUGGUUGAAUUUAUGAACUGAAACGUGUGGUCAGGUUCCAAAAUUAUACUACAAUUCAAAUUAAUAGGCUAUUAUAGAUAUGAUGAUGGUUGCAGAAUUAUCCACAAUGCACCAACAGGUCUGACUUCUGGAAGGAGAUAUGAACAUGUCCUUGAAAUAUUUUACAAGUAGGGAUAAGAGGGAAUCCUAGCCCUCCCCUUCAUUAUAUGAGAAUGGAAUUAGCAAAUAAAGGUUUUUUACCACUAAAAUGUAUAUAUAAUGCUAUUACAUAUUUCCAAGUAUGAAGCAUGACAGCCAACGGCAACCAGUAAAGUUGUACAAACAUGAGGUCAGAGGAAAAAGAUCAGAAAUGUGUCCUAGCGUUGUUUCCUUUUGGUCCAGCUUUUACAUGCACACGAUUAAUGCACAGGGGUCAAGUGCUAGAUAGGGUUAAAUAAUGAGACUACCAUUCUUUCAAAGCUGUUCUCCAUGAAUCUCUAGACUUUCAAACAGUUUGGCCUGGUGUGACUCUUUCAAUAUGCAGAAGUCAUGACAUGACCCAGGAAGUUUACCAAAACGUUUGUACUGUUUUAUUUAGCCUGGUAUCCAGUCUUCCAGGGCAUUUACAAAACAGUAUGAAUUCCUUAGAGGAUACCCAAAAGGAACUAUUUACAUCAAGAGAGAGAAGCUUAGGAAAAUUUUAGAAAAGGAUUAAAAUAUGCAGUAAACAUUAAUUUCUCUGCAAAAACCUGUUUUUUACACUAAUUAUUUCAUCUAACUUUGAAUUUGAAUUCAGACUUGGGGGCAAAUAGUCAGAUUUUAUACUUCAAAACAUAAUCACUUUUUAUGGCUACAGGAGAAUUAUUGUAACGGGAAGAAUUUCUGAUAUGGAAGAAAAUCACAUGGUAUUGUAAUAGUCUUAUUCUGAUUUAACAGAGAUACCCAAAUUUAGACUCUGUUCUUGACUUGUACUUGGUUCAAACUCUUUAAUUCUUUUAUGACUAUCUUCAUGUAUAAAAUGGAAAAAGCAAUAAUUUCAACUUGU
Long non-coding RNA from Balaenoptera musculus (blue whale), 2237 nucleotides. RefSeq lists it as uncharacterized. The transcript has 7 exons. The record is from RefSeq and is a predicted model, not a curated record. Lineage: Eukaryota; Metazoa; Chordata; Mammalia; Artiodactyla; Balaenopteridae.